RNAcentral lists this unclassified non-coding RNA (205 nucleotides) under Hevea brasiliensis (rubber tree). Lineage: Eukaryota; Viridiplantae; Streptophyta; Magnoliopsida; Malpighiales; Euphorbiaceae. The record is from RNAcentral.
UCCUUCUCUUCAUUCCAAAUGAAGAAAGCUUCCCCUUCUCCUUCUCCCUUAUCGUCUCCAGCUUGGGUUUCCAUUGGCGUGACCCAACCAGCAACUUGUAGUCCUUCUGUAAUUGAGGAGUGGUGCAUAUUCUGCUCCCUGAACUAUCAUCUUCCUCAGACUCCUUGAUUUUGCUUUGUUCCAUCAGUUGCGAUAUAAACUCAUC